AUUCCAUCGGCUCUAUACAUGCAGUCGACGCGUCUCCGUUAAUGAUUUUAGGUGCUUGCACUUGAAAGAUUUAACAUUGAGACGAGUGGCGAACUGGUGAGUAACACGUGGGUAACCUGCCCUUGAAGUAGGGGAUAACACUUGGAAACAGGUGCUAAUACCGUAUAACAACCAAAACCACCUGGUUUUGGUUUAAAAGACGGCUUCGGCUGUCACUUUAGGAUGGACCCGCGGCGUAUUAGCUUGUUGGUAAGGUAACGGCUUACCAAGGCGAUGAUACGUAGCCGACCUGAGAGGGUAAUCGGCCACAUUGGGACUGAGACACGGCCCAAACUCCUACGGGAGGCAGCAGUAGGGAAUCUUCCACAAUGGACGAAAGUCUGAUGGAGCAACGCCGCGUGAGUGAUGAAGGGUUUCGGCUCGUAAAACUCUGUUGUUGGAGAAGAACAGGUGUCAGAGUAACUGUUGACAUCUUGACGGUAUCCAACCAGAAAGCCACGGCUAACUACGUGCCAGCAGCCGCGGUAAUACGUAGGUGGCAAGCGUUGUCCGGAUUUAUUGGGCGUAAAGCGAGCGCAGGCGGUUUUUUAGGUCUGAUGUGAAAGCCUUCGGCUUAACCGGAGAAGUGCAUCGGAAACCGGGAGACUUGAGUGCAGAAGAGGACAGUGGAACUCCAUGUGUAGCGGUGAAAUGCGUAGAUAUAUGGAAGAACACCAGUGGCGAAGGCGGCUGUCUGGUCUGUAACUGACGCUGAGGCUCGAAAGCAUGGGUAGCGAACAGGAUUAGAUACCCUGGUAGUCCAUGCCGUAAACGAUGAGUGCUAAGUGUUGGAGGGUUUCCGCCCUUCAGUGCUGCAGCUAACGCAUUAAGCACUCCGCCUGGGGAGUACGACCGCAAGGUUGAAACUCAAAGGAAUUGACGGGGGCCCGCACAAGCGGUGGAGCA
Molecule: ribosomal RNA, 945 nt
Filed under: Lentilactobacillus buchneri
Lineage: Bacteria; Bacillati; Bacillota; Bacilli; Lactobacillales; Lactobacillaceae
Description: bacterial SSU rRNA
Rfam family: Bacterial small subunit ribosomal RNA
Source: RNAcentral